RNAcentral lists this ribosomal RNA (486 nucleotides) under uncultured bacterium. RNAcentral describes it as "partial 16S ribosomal RNA". It matches the Rfam family "Bacterial small subunit ribosomal RNA", at positions 28 to 507 of the family's 1533-position model. The record is from RNAcentral.
GUUGAACGCUGGCGGCAUGCCUUACACAUGCAAGUCGAACGGCAGCACGGGUGCUUGCACCUGGUGGCGAGUGGCGAACGGGUGAGUAAUACAUCGGAACAUGUCCUGUAGUGGGGGAUAGCCCGGCGAAAGCCGGAUUAAUACCGCAUACGAUCUACGGAUGAAAGCGGGGGACCUUCGGGCCUCGCGCUAUAGGGUUGGCCGAUGGCUGAUUAGCUAGUUGGUGGGGUAAAGGCCUACCAAGGCGACGAUCAGUAGCUGGUCUGAGAGGACGACCAGCCACACUGGGACUGAGACACGGCCCAGACUCCUACGGGAGGCAGCAGUGGGGAAUUUUGGACAAUGGGCGAAAGCCUGAUCCAGCAAUGCCGCGUGUGUGAAGAAGGCCUUCGGGUUGUAAAGCACUUUUGUCCGGAAAGAAAUCCUUGGCUCUAAUACAGUCGGGGGAUGACGGUACCGGAAGAAUAAGCACCGGCUAACUACGUG